RNAcentral lists this long non-coding RNA (500 nucleotides) under Monomorium pharaonis (pharaoh ant). RNAcentral's name for it is "uncharacterized LOC118648892, transcript variant X1". Lineage: Eukaryota; Metazoa; Arthropoda; Insecta; Hymenoptera; Formicidae. The record is from RNAcentral.
ACGUCCGCCAUUUUUCUUCAAAACUUUCAACAUUAUAAUAUAUGUAAUAAUAGUUGUGUGUUGGCUUCUAUUAAAAAAAGUAUUACAAUUGGAUUAAAUUGUAAUCGAAUAAUUCAAGAACGCGAAAUUGAAUUUCAAAAUAAUAAAAAUAUUAUUUUGGGUUUCACUAUUUAAAAAUUAUGAUAAAUAUGGAUUUUAAAAAGUUAUAUCAUAAUAUAUAAAGUUAGAAAAUGUAAGAUUGAUUAUUUUCGCAUGUCAUCAAUACAACUGAAGGACUUGUUACAAAUGGUUAUUACAAAUGGAUAACAACAAAUUGUUCGUUUUAUUAUAAACAUUUAUCGAUUUAUAACAAAAUUGAGAAAAAACCGAGCUGCUCUUAAUAACGUGGUGAAUUUCUGGCGCGGGCACAUAUCUUAAACUUGAUAUCAGUUUGCAUGGUCGAGGACUGAAGCUGUGCUCAGAAUCGCAACGUGACUUACGCCUUAUGCCGAGCGCGCGAC